GACGAACGCUGGCGGCGUGCUUAACACAUGCAAGUCGAACGGAAAGGCCCCUUCGGGGGUACUCGAGUGGCGAACGGGUGAGUAACACGUGGGUGAUCUGCCCUGCACUUCGGGAUAAGCCUGGGAAACUGGGUCUAAUACCGGAUAGGACCACGGGAUGCAUGUCCUGUGGUGGAAAGCUUUUGCGGUGUGGGAUGGGCCCGCGGCCUAUCAGCUUGUUGGUGGGGUGACGGCCUACCAAGGCGACGACGGGUAGCCGGCCUGAGAGGGUGUCCGGCCACACUGGGACUGAGAUACGGCCCAGACUCCUACGGGAGGCAGCAGUGGGGAAUAUUGCACAAUGGGCGCAAGCCCGAUGCAGCGACGCCGCGUGGGGGAUGACGGCCUUCGGGUUGUAAACCUCUUUCAGCAGGGACGAAGCGCAAGUGACGGUACCUGCAGAAGAAGCACCGGCCAACUACGUGCCAGCAGCCGCGGUAAUACGUAGGGUGCGAGCGUUGUCCGGAAUUACUGGGCGUAAAGAGCUCGUAGGUGGUUUGUCGCGUUGUUCGUGAAAACCGGGGGCUUAACCCUCGGCGUGCGGGCGAUACGGGCAGACUGGAGUACUGCAGGGGAGACUGGAAUUCCUGGUGUAGCGGUGGAAUGCGCAGAUAUCAGGAGGAACACCGGUGGCGAAGGCGGGUCUCUGGGCAGUAACUGACGCUGAGGAGCGAAAGCGUGGGGAGCGAACAGGAUUAGAUACCCUGGUAGUCCACGCCGUAAACGGUGGGUACUAGGUGUGGGUUUCCUUCCUUGGGAUCCGUGCCGUAGCUAACGCAUUAAGUACCCCGCCUGGGGAGUACGGCCGCAAGGCUAAAACUCAAAGGAAUUGACGGGGGCCCGCACAAGCGGCGGAGCAUGUGGAUUAAUUCGAUGCAACGCGAAGAACCUUACCUGGGUUUGACAUGCACAGGACGCCGGCAGAGAUGUCGGUUCCCUUGUGGCCUGUGUGCAGGUGGUGCAUGGCUGUCGUCAGCUCGUGUCGUGAGAUGUUGGGUUAAGUCCCGCAACGAGCGCAACCCUUGUCUCAUGUUGCCAGCGGGUAAUGCCGGGGACUCGUGAGAGACUGCCGGGGUCAACUCGGAGGAAGGUGGGGAUGACGUCAAGUCAUCAUGCCCCUUAUGUCCAGGGCUUCACACAUGCUACAAUGGCCGGUACAAAGGGCUGCGAUGCCGCGAGGCUUAGCGAAUCCUUUUAAAGCCGGUCUCAGUUCGGAUCGGGGUCUGCAACUCGACCCCGUGAAGUCGGAGUCGCUAGUAAUCGCAGAUCAGCAACGCUGCGGUGAAUACGUUCCCGGGCCU
RNAcentral lists this ribosomal RNA (1340 nucleotides) under uncultured bacterium. RNAcentral describes it as "bacterial SSU rRNA". It matches the Rfam family "Bacterial small subunit ribosomal RNA", at positions 28 to 1381 of the family's 1533-position model. The record is from RNAcentral.